This is a long non-coding RNA of Eucalyptus grandis, 948 nucleotides long. RefSeq lists it as uncharacterized. NCBI's taxonomy places the organism in Eukaryota, Viridiplantae, Streptophyta, Magnoliopsida, Myrtales, Myrtaceae. The transcript has 2 exons. The record is from RefSeq and is a predicted model, not a curated record.
UCAUCUUUCAUGGGAUGCAUGCCUCAAGAUUGCGGUUGGGGCUGCCAGAGGCUUGGCCUUCUUGCACAAUUCCUGUAAUAUGAUACACAGGGAUUUCAAAAGUGCAAAUAUUUUGCUAGAUGAGUCUUACAUGGCCAAACUCUCGGACUUUGGAUUGGUGAGGUCCGGUCCUCUAGAGGACAAGUCACAUGUUUCAACGCAGUUUAUGGGUACCACUGGCUAUUGUGACCCUGAAUACAGAGCAACUGGUAAUUUUUCCAAUGUAAAAUGCUUUUUUGUGACUUAGUGCUGGCUGAUGCUCGGUCUUGAAUUUUGACAAUACUGUCGGGAAGUUAUUUUCUGAUGCUUUGCUGCAACAUCACAUAAGACUCUUGGAUUUUACAGGGCAACUCACUGUAGAGAGUGAUGUUUACAGUUUUGGCAUCGUGUUGCUUGAGAUACUAACAGGUUGCAGGGCAUUUGAUCCGAGCAGUCCAGCAGAUAGAGUUAAUUUAGUGGAGUGGACCAGACCAUACUUAUCCGGUAAAAGAAAACCGUGGGCUCUAGUUGACACGAGAUUGCGGGGCGAAUAUUGUGUGGACUCUGUACGCCAGAUAGCACAGCUAGCUAAUAUAUGCGUCGGACUUAAUCCUAAGUCCCGGCCUUCCAUGUCUGAAGUCGUGGAAAAAUUGGAAUCAAUAGAAGCUGUCAGUGCUAAAGGAAUACUACGGAAUGUGUGAAUUUAUUUGUUAUGUUGUUUGUACUUCAUGUGAUGGGAUCAAAGUCUGUUGCUUCCCAGGAUUACUCUUGGGCUUUGAAUAUUCUUUUCGAUUGUACCCAGUAGUUACCAGGUGUUGUGCCUUCUUGUAUGCUCUUUGGAAUAUUCAUACGUGUCUAUCAUUAUGUGCAUCAACUUCUGAAUUGAGACGUUGUGAUUACACUUUCUUUAAGAGGGGAACUGUUUUCUGA